Molecule: ribosomal RNA, 549 nt
Filed under: uncultured Glomeraceae
Lineage: Eukaryota; Fungi; Glomeromycota; Glomeromycetes; Glomerales; Glomeraceae
Description: SSU rRNA
Rfam family: Eukaryotic small subunit ribosomal RNA
Source: RNAcentral
UUGGAGGGCAAGUCUGGUGCCAGCAGCCGCGGUAAUUCCAGCUCCAAUAGCGUAUAUUAAAGUUGUUGCAGUUAAAAAGCUCGUAGUUGAAUUUCGGGAUCAAAUAAUCGGUCGUGCCUCCGGUACGUACUGGUUUUAUUGGUUCCUCCCUUCUGACGAACCAUGAUGUCGUUAAUUUGAUGUGGUGGAGAAUCAGGACUGUUACCUUGAAAAAAUUAGAGUGUUUAAAGCAGGCUAACGCUUGAAUACAUUAGCAUGGAAUAAUGAAAUAGGACGUUCGACCCUAUUUUGUUGGUUUCUAGGAUCGACGUAAUGAUUAAUAGGGAUAGUUGGGGGCAUUAGUAUUCAAUUGUCAGAGGUGAAAUUCUUGGAUUUAUUGAAGACUAACUACUGCGAAAGCAUUUGCCAAGGAUGUUUUCAUUAAUCAAGAACGAAAGUUAGGGGAUCGAAGACGAUCAGAUACCGUCGUAGUCUUAACCAUAAACUAUGCCGACUAGGGAUCGGAUGAUGUUAAUUUUUUAAUGACUCAUUCGGCGCCUUACGGGAAAC